CCGGGGGCUUGCGCCCCCGGCUCAGUUGUGUCGCCCCUUCGGGGCU
This 46-nucleotide small RNA is filed under the name Planctomyces sp. SCGC AG-212-M04. Its description in RNAcentral is "Acido-Lenti-1 RNA". It matches the Rfam family "Acido-Lenti-1 RNA". The record is from Rfam by way of RNAcentral. Lineage: Bacteria; Pseudomonadati; Planctomycetota; Planctomycetia; Planctomycetales; Planctomycetaceae.